This 491-nucleotide ribosomal RNA is filed under the name uncultured bacterium. RNAcentral describes it as "partial 16S ribosomal RNA". It matches the Rfam family "Bacterial small subunit ribosomal RNA", at positions 29 to 507 of the family's 1533-position model. The record is from RNAcentral.
AGUGAACGCUGGCGGUAGGCCUAACACAUGCAAGUCGAACGGCAGCACAGUAAGAGCUUGCUCUUACGGGUGGCGAGUGGCGGACGGGUGAGGAAUACAUCGGAAUCUACUUUUUCGUGGGGGAUAACGUAGGGAAACUUACGCUAAUACCGCAUACGACCUACGGGCGAAAGCAGGGGAUCUUCGGACCUUGCGCGAUUGAAUGAGCCGAUGUCGGAUUAGCUAGUUGGCGGGGUAAAGGCCACCAAGGCGACGAUCCGUAGCUGGUCUGAGAGGAUGAUCAGCCACACUGGAACUGAGACACGGUCCAGACUCCUACGGGAGGCAGCAGUGGGGAAUAUUGGACAAUGGGCGCAAGCCUGAUCCAGCCAUACCGCGUGGGUGAAGAAGGCCUUCGGGUUGUAAAGCCCUUUUGUUGGGAAAGAAAAGCAGCAGGUUAAUACCCCGCUGUUCUGACGGUACCCAAAGAAUAAGCACCGGCUAACUUCGUG